AAAAAAUUAAUGAAAAUAUUUUUCUUCAAGCAGAGCCAUUAGCCUUUCCGAAUUAUUUGAAUAAAUAUUAAUUCCAAAAAGGAAACUAACAUUUGUUCAGAAAAUUUUGUCCGAAUCAAAAUCUCUUAGGUGGUGAAAUUCUUAGUUGAAAAAUUGUCCCAAUGUUCCUUAGCAAAAUGGUCAGUGGGUUGCUGAAUACCAACAAAAACCAACAAAAUUCCAAUAUAAAUCAGCCUCCCUCCACGACACAAUCUGUGACUCAAUCCCAUUCCAAUCAGAAUGGCUCACAGAGGAAAUCCCACAAGAAAUCGGAUAAAAGACGCAAGCCAAAACCCAAAAAGGCCUUGACAGAUCUAUUGAAGCCUUUAUCCAAAAAUUCUAUUACAAAUGAUUUGCCUCAAACUUCGAAGGGUGAUGGCAGAGGUCCCGCACCCAUUAGGGAAAUCUUUUCCCCCAGCACCAAUAAAGUCAAAUCAGCCAGCUGGAAACGAUCCGACAGAUCUGCGGCCUUUGCCAACAAGAAAAGCAAAGUUUCGCGAAAACAUUCCCCCAAUUGGUUAAAAAUCAAUUGUGUGUCGGAAAAGGUGGACGAAACCUAUAGCAACAAAACUAUGGAUUCGGCUUGCCGUCCCGGGACCUUAUACUCAGAUGUUGUCUUUGGGGCUGGGGGUACAGCGAAUUUAGUUAAUAUUCGAACCGCUGCUAGUGAGGGACCAAGUGCCCAACAAAAACUUACCGAGGCUCUGCUGAAAUGUUCACUGGCUACCAAGGGAAAUCCAAAUGAUUCCACUCGUAUUGAUCAUGAAAUGGACAAUCAAAAUACAAUUUUUCAAACUCUCUUCAAUUUUGAGGGCAACCCAAUGGGCAAUCAGGAUUCUCCAAUCCAAACCCUUGAAAUUCCGUCUGAACCAAAUUUCAUAACCAAAGAAGUGGAAGAAGAAGUCUGCAUCUGUGAAUCCACACCCAACAGUUGCAGUUCCGCCUUUGAGAAGUCUCUCAACACCACCCCCUAUGACGAAGCCGAUGUUGUGGUUUUGGAAGAACAUAAAGGGAAUGAUCACUGCUCCCAUUCCCCCAUUUCUUAUGGCAACUAUUUGGAGCAGCAACAACAACAAUUUCAUGAAUCCACCACUUCAAACAUUGUUAACCGCCAGCCAAGGAAAUUCAUCAUCAACAUACCCCAAUGGAAUUUCACUGAACCCGAUUUCAGUCCCCUGGGUUUUCCGAAAUUUUUGUGUCAUUUCGACGAUGAGACCUAUUUGCAAGCUGAAAAUUUGGCAAUGUUGAGUUUUAAUUUGGCCAUGGGAAAUCGCACGGCUCCGGGUGCAUUCAAGCUAUAAAGGUUCGUUAAUGGAUUCCAUAAAAUGUUUGAAUAUCAUUAUAUGUUUUUAAUUGAGGCAGGAGAUAUUGGUAAGGGGAAAUGGGAAAAGAUUUAUUUGAGGAGAGAAUAUUUGAAACAAAUGACAAUUUCUCAUUAGAGGAAUGUAAAAUGUCUUAUUCUGUUCACCCAUGACCAAGGAAGGUCCAAUAAAACAGCGUCUAAAAAUGUGAAAUGUUUUCUAUCAAGACAAGAUAUGUGGGGGAGGGAGAGAGCGAGAGUAAAAUUACAACUUCCGAAUAAUGAGCAUUUGGACCAACAAAUGUGGAUUUUUUAAAGAAUAUUUUUUCCCAAGGAUCAACAAACGUGGAUUUUGUAAAGAACGUUUUUCCAAAGGACUAACAGACGUGAACUUUUUAAAAAAAUGUUUUCCUCAAGGACCAACAAACGUGGAUAUUUUAAGGAAUAUUUUCCCAAGGACCAACAGAAGUGAAUUUUUUAAAGAAAAUUUUUUCUCAAGGACUAACAAACGUGGAUUUUUUAAAGAAUAUUUAACCACGGAUCAACAAACGUGGAUUUUUUAAGGAUAUUUUUCCAAGGAUAAACAAACGUGGAUUUUGUAAAGAACGUUUUUCCCAAGGACCAACAAACGUGGAAUUUUUAAAGAAUAUUUUUCCAAAGGACCAAAAAAACGGGGAUGUUUAAAGAAUAUUUUUCCCAAAGAUCAAUAAAUGUGAAUUUUUUAAAGGAUAUUUUCGAAAGAAUCAGCAGACGGGGAUUUUUUAAGAAUAUUUCUCUCAAGGAUCAACAAACGUGGAUUUUUCAAGGAUUUUUCCUAAGGUCCAAUGAACGUCGAUUUUUCAAAAUAAUGUUUUUCCAAGGGACCAACAAAUGUGGAUCUUUUUAAAUAAUAUUUUCCCAAGGAUCAAUAAACGUGAAUUUUUUAAAGGAUAUUUUCCCAAGAAUCAACAAACGGGGAUUUUUUUAAAGAUUAUUUUUCUCAAGGAUCAACAAACGUGGAUUUUUCAAGGAUUUUUCCCUAAGGACCGAUGGACGUCUAUUUUUCAAAAUAACGUUUUCCAAGGGACCAACAAAUGUGGAUAUUAUAAAGAAUAUUUUUUCCCAUUUUUUUAAAUGUGAUUUUUUUAAAAUAAAAUUUUUCCCAAGGAUCAAUAAACGUGAAUAUUUCAAAGAAUAUUUUCCCAAGAAUCAACAAACGGGGAUUUUUUAAAGAAUAUUUUUCUCAAGGAUCAACAAACGUGGAUUUUUUCCUAAGGACCAAUGGACGUCUAUUUUUCAAAAUAAUGUUUUUCCAAGGCACCAACAAAUGUGGAUUUUUUAAGGAUAUUUUUUCCUAAGGACCAGGAAACGUGAAUUUUUCAAAAGGAUAUUUUUCCUAAGGACGGGGAAACGUGGAUGUUUCAAAAGAAUAUUUUUCCCAAGAAUCGACAAACGGGUAUUUUCAAAAGAUUAUUUUUCCAAAUUGCUCACAAAAGCCGAAAUUAGUUCCAGAUUCUCUUUAAAUUUCAUGCAUUUCGAUAUUUUUUACUAACGCAAGUGUCUCAAUUUUUGAAUACCUAUAUAUCUAAAAACUUACGAAACAAGUCUUCUAUUCUUUUCAAACAUCAACAUCAACCAGCGAUCUGAUGUGAAUAUGGAAUUUAUCGGUCUACUCCUUCUCGAACCUCUCCAGUAUAGGUUAAAAUUUUGAUUUAUUACUACGAAAUAAACAAUAUUAGACCUCUCUCUCACCUCCAAAAAUUAUUCAAGGUUUGAAAAAUUCGAACGCAACUCCAAAUAUAUUUAAAUAAACCGACAGAGGGUGUUCAUCAGUCACCAAGACCGACUGAUACUUUUUAACCAGGUUUGAAACUUUAAGGAGAUGGCAAAUAAUACAAUUUUAUUUAAUAAUAGAAAAAAACUCAAAAUACCUCAUCGUCCCUGUUCUAUAAAAAAAGAAAACAAAAACACUGUGCUUCAUACUUUUGCACCCCACUGUAAUAUGUUUUAAAUUCCUUUCCCCAACCUUUUUAUUAUGGUUUAAAACAAAAACCUUAUUUUGUAUACAUUUCCCAUUGCGUCAAACCAAUAACAAAAUAAACUGUACUCUUUAUAAACAAUGCGACUCUUAAACCAGUUUUAAAUCUCUUGUAUCACUUACUCUCUCCAUGUGAUUUUCCUGCGUUAUCAUCACCCCCAUUAAAUGAGAGAGAUAUAGAGAGAAAGUUGAGUAACUCUCUUUUCCAGUAUCCACAAUUUGUGGCACAAAGCAAACACUGCAUGUGGAAUUUGCAUUGAGUGAGAGGGAGAGAGAACUGGAAUCCAAUACCCAACAACAGCAAGAAAUAAACAAAGCCAAGUAAUGAGCAUGAAAUGGUACUCAAACACAAUACACUCUGGCUCUCCUUUAAACCCCCACAUAAAUAAACUCCACAAACUCGCACACACACCCAAUGAGCAGCCCAUCCAUCCAGCCAGCCAGCAAGCCAGAAUAAUGUGUGGCGCAAACAAUGAGUGCUAGUCCAUAAAGUGAGUGCUUGCGAACAAGUUGAGUCGUACGGAACGUCAGUUAAUCUUUUUAACGGAAGAACGAAAGCGGGUUGAAUUUCAAAACAAGAAAGAAGAAGAAUAAGAAAAAAAAAAAAACAUACAGCCAUCAUCAUAAAACACACACACGCACGGGGCGCAUACCCACACAAGAAACAGAAGAAAACAAAAACACGAAACGAAAAGGAGAAUACAGUAUUUUUUCUGGCUGUCUGUCUGUCUGUCGGUCGGUCUGCCUGUUUGGUUUUCAAAAGUAUUUUGUAUGUGUACUCGAAUAACUAGCAACAACAACAACAGCAGCAGCAACAUCAUCUUCAUCAUCAUCCUCACUACGACGUUGUGUUUGUUGUAGAUAAAUGUGUUGGGAAGAAUUACAAGUGAGAGGGUAAAGACGACGAACGUCUCGUUUCACAAAAUAAAAACCAAGAAAAAAAAUUGUGGAGUUUUUGGAGAAUUAAAUAAAAAAGUGUUUCAAUAUUAUUUAAAAUUUGAAGUGUCGCAAAAAAUUUAAAAUUGCAAAAAGCUGAUAGUAAAGAAUUUAAAAAUUUACAUAAAAUUCUGAAAAAAUAUUAGAAAAUUGCAAAAUUCAUUGCCCCCACUCAAAAAUAUAGUUGCUUGUGAUUGUAUGUGUGGGCUUGUGUCAAUGUAAACAUCAAGUGCAAAAUAUAGAGAAAGAAAAAACAAAAGCAAAUAUAAAAAAGCCAAACCACGCCGCCGCUGUUGUUUAAUGUUUUCCUAAAAUCCACCGAUAAUUAGUUAAAAAAAAUCAGAAAAAAGAAGAAGCAGCACCAGAGAAGCCGCACUUUAUUUGGCAGCAUUUUUGUUAUUUCCCUACGUUUCCUCUAUUGAAACUCGCCGCAUUCGUGUUUGUCGCGACCGGUCGUUUCAUGUCCGCGUUACAUUGCCUUUCGUAAUCCAGUAACCAACAAAAACAAAAACUCCAACAACAACUACAGAUUUUUCUUAUUUGACGCGUUGUGUGUGUUCGUUGCCGCAACUAGAAACCAACAACUACAACAACAAAACAAGAAAAAAAAACAAGAAAAAAUAUUCUAUUUCCCCCACGAAAUAUCCGAUCCCCCAAUAAAAUCGAAAUAAAAGAAGUUUGAAGAAGCAAUAAAAGAAGUAGAGGAAGAAGAAAAAAUAAUAAAUAAAUAAAUAAGAAAUACAUAAGCCAUCCGUCAAUCAAGUGGAGUUUUAUGCUAAAUUACAAAAAAAAAAAAAAGAGAGAAGAGAGUGCAAGAGAGUUGCCAAUGUUAAGAGCAAAAGCAGAGUAAACGAAAUUACAGUGUUUUCUUGGUGCCAUUUUAAUACUUUUUUGGUGUAAAUUUUGUCCAAAUCAAAUACAAAAAUUCAAGUGAUUUCAAAAUUGUGAAAAAAAAAAUAUUUAAAUUCUUUGUUCUAAAUAAAAUCUUAAAAAAAUAUUGGGUGAAAUUUGUGAUUUUUUCGCGUGUAGUUUUUGUCGUUUUCUUUUUGCAAAGAGCGCGCCAGUAUUUAGCCGACCAAGAGAGUGACAAAUCUCCCGCAUCUCCCCCGUAACACUCAAUUGUCAUUGCAUACCUAUGCCAUAUGUGAAAAUAAUAACAGCAGCAUAAAGG
Musca domestica (house fly) is the source of this 5463-nucleotide RNA transcript. RefSeq lists it as uncharacterized. NCBI's taxonomy places the organism in Eukaryota, Metazoa, Arthropoda, Insecta, Diptera, Muscidae. The transcript has 3 exons. The record is from RefSeq and is a predicted model, not a curated record.